RNAcentral lists this transfer RNA (93 nucleotides) under Streptomyces plicatus. RNAcentral describes it as "tRNA-Val". RNAcentral also lists the same sequence under 2 other names. The record is from RNAcentral. Lineage: Bacteria; Bacillati; Actinomycetota; Actinomycetes; Kitasatosporales; Streptomycetaceae.
CGGGCGGGUGCCGGGGCGGCGGACCGGUUCGGCCGUGACCUGGCCGCCCUGCACGCCACCGGGGCGCCGGCGUUCGGCGCCGCGCCGCCCGGC